ACGUCUAGCCACACCCUGAACGCACCCGAUCUCGUCUGAUCUUGGAAGCUAAGCAUGAUGGGGCCUGGUUAGCACUUGGAUGGGAGACCACCUAGGAAGACCAGGUGCUGUAGGUG
Molecule: ribosomal RNA, 116 nt
Filed under: Pteropus alecto (black flying fox)
Lineage: Eukaryota; Metazoa; Chordata; Mammalia; Chiroptera; Pteropodidae
Source: RNAcentral